CUGAUUGGUUGGAGAGAAUCAUCACUAAUCACUGCAUCAUCAUCGCUAGCAACAGAUGGGUGUGUCAUAAACAAACC
This is a long non-coding RNA of Etheostoma cragini (Arkansas darter), 77 nucleotides long. RefSeq lists it as uncharacterized. The transcript has 3 exons. Lineage: Eukaryota; Metazoa; Chordata; Actinopteri; Perciformes; Percidae. The record is from RefSeq and is a predicted model, not a curated record.